CACCCAAAUGAAUAUUCACACAAAACCUAAUUACAAAAUCUAAAAUUAAAAUAAGACAUCUCAACACACCCCUCGUCUGUCCCCAUGCUACCUUCACCACCGUCAACCAUCGCUUUCCGAAACCACCGUCGGUCGUCGCUUUCUAAAACCAUAAUCGCUCUGGUUCUAACGGUUACUAAGGGGAAAACUCUUGCUGUAAUUAAUAGUUGUAGGCGCUAUUGUGAUCUUCGAGGUGCAAAGAUGUUCUAGAUCAAAGGCAAGAAAGAAAGAAAUGCGUGUAAACAAGAGGUGGAGAAAAUUCAAUGUGUUUCCUUAUGAUAUCAUUACAAAGAAUUUGUCUAAUGUUGCGCCACUAGGAUCAAUGAAACAAAGGAAAAAUGGAGGGCUAUCCAAUUUCAAGGGUGAAACAAUUCAAUUAGUAGUUGUUUUCAAUGGGGAUCACUCCUUAAACAUAUUCCUGAAUGAGAUGGGUAAAAAGAGACAAUAAAUAAAGCUCAUGAAUAUGUUAAGGAAGUUAUUUUGUGACUUACAAGAACAAGCAGGGAGACCAUCAAAUUAGGAGUAGAUGAAAAUGUUAUAAAUCUUCAAAGUGGAAUGCUUUUGUUUAUCACAAAAUGUAGAAUGAUGUUUAUUCAUAUUUGUAAUGUGAAAUGCCAUAGUAUUUAGGGAAUCAGUUUUGAUGGAGCUACUUUGUUGCUUUUGAUAUUGCUAUUUUAAAUGGCUAUAUAUGCAACCGAAUUUGUUAUGUCAA
This is a long non-coding RNA of Mangifera indica (mango), 751 nucleotides long. RefSeq lists it as uncharacterized. The record is from RefSeq and is a predicted model, not a curated record. The transcript has 3 exons. NCBI's taxonomy places the organism in Eukaryota, Viridiplantae, Streptophyta, Magnoliopsida, Sapindales, Anacardiaceae.